RNAcentral lists this ribosomal RNA (2647 nucleotides) under Klebsiella pneumoniae. RNAcentral describes it as "bacterial LSU rRNA". It matches the Rfam family "Bacterial large subunit ribosomal RNA". Lineage: Bacteria; Pseudomonadati; Pseudomonadota; Gammaproteobacteria; Enterobacterales; Enterobacteriaceae. The record is from RNAcentral.
CACUAUCGUUAACUGAAUACAUAGGUUAACGAGGCGAACCGGGGGAACUGAAACAUCUAAGUACCCCGAGGAAAAGAAAUCAACCGAGAUUCCCCCAGUAGCGGCGAGCGAACGGGGAGCAGCCCAGAGUCUGAAUCAGCUUGUGUGUUAGUGGAACGGUCUGGAAAGUCCGACGGUACAGGGUGAUAGUCCCGUACACCAAAAUGCACAGGCUGUGAACUCGAAGAGUAGGGCGGGACACGUGGUAUCCUGUCUGAAUAUGGGGGGACCAUCCUCCAAGGCUAAAUACUCCUGACUGACCGAUAGUGAACCAGUACCGUGAGGGAAAGGCGAAAAGAACCCCGGCGAGGGGAGUGAAAAAGAACCUGAAACCGUGUACGUACAAGCAGUGGGAGCACCUUCGGGUGUGACUGCGUACCUUUUGUAUAAUGGGUCAGCGACUUAUAUUCUGUAGCAAGGUUAACCGUAUAGGGGAGCCGCAGGGAAACCGAGUCUUAACUGGGCGUUAAGUUGCAGGGUAUAGACCCGAAACCCGGUGAUCUAGCCAUGGGCAGGUUGAAGGUUGGGUAACACUAACUGGAGGACCGAACCGACUAAUGUUGAAAAAUUAGCGGAUGACUUGUGGCUGGGGGUGAAAGGCCAAUCAAACCGGGAGAUAGCUGGUUCUCCCCGAAAGCUAUUUAGGUAGCGCCUCGUGAACUCAUCUUCGGGGGUAGAGCACUGUUUCGGCUAGGGGGUCAUCCCGACUUACCAACCCGAUGCAAACUACGAAUACCGAAGAAUGUUAUCACGGGAGACACACGGCGGGUGCUAACGUCCGUCGUGAAGAGGGAAACAACCCAGACCGCCAGCUAAGGUCCCAAAGUCAUGGUUAAGUGGGAAACGAUGUGGGAAGGCACAGACAGCCAGGAUGUUGGCUUAGAAGCAGCCAUCAUUUAAAGAAAGCGUAAUAGCUCACUGGUCGAGUCGGCCUGCGCGGAAGAUGUAACGGGGCUAAACCAUGCACCGAAGCUGCGGCAGCGACACUAUGUGUUGUUGGGUAGGGGAGCGUUCUGUAAGCCUGCGAAGGUGACCUGUGAGGGUUGCUGGAGGUAUCAGAAGUGCGAAUGCUGACAUAAGUAACGAUAAAGCGGGUGAAAAGCCCGCUCGCCGGAAGACCAAGGGUUCCUGUCCAACGUUAAUCGGGGCAGGGUGAGUCGACCCCUAAGGCGAGGCCGAAAGGCGUAGUCGAUGGGAAACAGGUUAAUAUUCCUGUACUUGGUGUUACUGCGAAGGGGGGACGGAGAAGGCUAUGUUAGCCGGGCGACGGUUGUCCCGGUUUAAGCAUGUAGGCUGGUUGUCCAGGCAAAUCCGGAUAAUCAAGGCUGAGGUGUGAUGACGAGGCACUACGGUGCUGAAGUAACAAAUGCCCUGCUUCCAGGAAAAGCCUCUAAGCAUCAGGUAACAUUAAAUCGUACCCCAAACCGACACAGGUGGUCAGGUAGAGAAUACCAAGGCGCUUGAGAGAACUCGGGUGAAGGAACUAGGCAAAAUGGUGCCGUAACUUCGGGAGAAGGCACGCUGGUGUGUAGGUGAAGUCCCUGCGGAUGGAGCUGAGACCAGUCGAAGAUACCAGCUGGCUGCAACUGUUUAUUAAAAACACAGCACUGUGCAAACACGAAAGUGGACGUAUACGGUGUGACGCCUGCCCGGUGCCGGAAGGUUAAUUGAUGGGGUUAUCCGUAAGGAGAAGCUCUUGAUCGAAGCCCCGGUAAACGGCGGCCGUAACUAUAACGGUCCUAAGGUAGCGAAAUUCCUUGUCGGGUAAGUUCCGACCUGCACGAAUGGCGUAAUGAUGGCCAGGCUGUCUCCACCCGAGACUCAGUGAAAUUGAACUCGCUGUGAAGAUGCAGUGUACCCGCGGCAAGACGGAAAGACCCCGUGAACCUUUACUAUAGCUUGACACUGAACAUUGAGCCUUGAUGUGUAGGAUAGGUGGGAGGCUUUGAAGCGUGGACGCCAGUCUGCGUGGAGCCAACCUUGAAAUACCACCCUUUAAUGUUUGAUGUUCUAACGUUGGCCCCUUACCGGGGUUGCGGACAGUGUCUGGUGGGUAGUUUGACUGGGGCGGUCUCCUCCCAAAGCGUAACGGAGGAGCACGAAGGUUAGCUAAUCCUGGUCGGACAUCAGGAGGUUAGUGCAAUGGCAUAAGCUAGCUUGACUGCGAGCGUGACGGCGCGAGCAGGUGCGAAAGCAGGUCAUAGUGAUCCGGUGGUUCUGAAUGGAAGGGCCAUCGCUCAACGGAUAAAAGGUACUCCGGGGAUAACAGGCUGAUACCGCCCAAGAGUUCAUAUCGACGGCGGUGUUUGGCACCUCGAUGUCGGCUCAUCACAUCCUGGGGCUGAAGUAGGUCCCAAGGGUAUGGCUGUUCGCCAUUUAAAGUGGUACGCGAGCUGGGUUUAGAACGUCGUGAGACAGUUCGGUCCCUAUCUGCCGUGGGCGCUGGAGAAUUGAGGGGGGCUGCUCCUAGUACGAGAGGACCGGAGUGGACGCAUCACUGGUGUUCGGGUUGUCAUGCCAAUGGCACUGCCCGGUAGCUAAAUGCGGAAGAGAUAAGUGCUGAAAGCAUCUAAGCACGAAACUUGCCCCGAGAUGAGUUCUCCCUGAG